Pelobates cultripes (western spadefoot toad) is the source of this 262-nucleotide non-coding RNA. Lineage: Eukaryota; Metazoa; Chordata; Amphibia; Anura; Pelobatidae. The record is from the annotation of a GenBank genome assembly.
CCCCAACGCAAAAGUGAAAGUGAACGGAGCGCUUACAGAGUCUUUCCCGAUCUGCAAUGGGACGAGACAGGGAUGUCCGCUAUCUCCCAUGCUCUUCGCUCUGGUACUCGAACCGUUCCUAGAGGCAGUACGCACCUCGGAUGAAAUCCCGGGCUACAAAAGCGGUAAUGUAGCACACAAAGUGGCGGCAUAUGCCGAUGACCUUUUAUUCUUUAUCACGAGCCCGGAGACAACAAUGCCCCAUCUCAUAGCUAUGCUCAAC